RNAcentral lists this ribosomal RNA (446 nucleotides) under uncultured bacterium. Its description in RNAcentral is "bacterial SSU rRNA". It matches the Rfam family "Bacterial small subunit ribosomal RNA", at positions 354 to 796 of the family's 1533-position model. The record is from RNAcentral.
GUAGGGAAUAUUGGGCAAUGGAGGCAACUCUGACCCAGCCAUGCCGCGUGCAGGAAGACGGUCCUCUGGAUUGUAAACUGCUUUUGAAUGGGAAGAACAUACGGUUUGCGAACCGUACUGACGGUACUAUUAGAAUAAGCACCGGCUAACUCCGUGCCAGCAGCCGCGGUAAUACGGAGGGUGCAAGCGUUAUCCGGAUUUAUUGGGUUUAAAGGGUGCGUAGGCGGCCUUAUAAGUCGGUGGUUAAAGGUAGCAGCUUAACUGUUUUACAUGCCAUCGAUACUGUAGGGCUUGAGUGAUUUGGAGGUAGCUAGAAUUCCCUGUGUAGCGGUGAAAUGCAUAGAUACGGGGAGGAAUACCGAUUGCGAAGGCAUGUUACUACGAAUUAACUGACGCUGAGGCACGAAAGCGUGGGGAUCAAACAGGAUUAGAUACCCGUGUAGUCC